Molecule: ribosomal RNA, 377 nt
Filed under: uncultured bacterium
Lineage: Bacteria
Description: bacterial SSU rRNA
Rfam family: Bacterial small subunit ribosomal RNA
Source: RNAcentral
UAAUACGUAGGUGGCGAGCGUUGUCCGGAUUUACUGGGCGUAAAGAGCCCGCAGGCGGUCCGUUAAGUUUCAGGUGAAAUCUCCCGGCUCAACCGGGAGGGUGCCUGGAAAACUGGCGGACUUGAGGCAGGGAGAGGGAUGUGGAAUUCCCGGUGUAGUAGUGAAAUGCGUAGAUAUCGGGAGGAACACCAGUGGCGAAGGCGGCAUCCUGGCCCUGUCCUGACGCUCAGGGGCGAAAGCGUGGGGAGCAAACCGGAUUAGAUACCCGGGUAGUCCACGCCGUAAACGAUGAGUACUAGGGGUGGGGGGUAUCGACCCCCUCCGUCCCGAAGCCAACGCGAUAAGUACUCCGCCUGGGGACUACGGCCGCAAGGCUA